Molecule: long non-coding RNA, 146 nt
Organism: Etheostoma cragini (Arkansas darter)
Lineage: Eukaryota; Metazoa; Chordata; Actinopteri; Perciformes; Percidae
Exons: 3
Source: RefSeq, a predicted model, not a curated record
UCCAAGGACAUGUUGACCGUAUUUCACAUUUGGUCAAACACUGAAUUGGUGACACUUAUCUUGGGCGCCCAUCUUGAAACUGUGGGGAUUGUUUCGAUCUUCUGUGCUGCUGAGUUGAAGAUGUGUGUAAAAGCAUCCAUGUUUUG